This is a small nucleolar RNA of Cheilinus undulatus (humphead wrasse), 133 nucleotides long. RefSeq annotates it as small nucleolar RNA SNORA15. The record is from RefSeq and is a predicted model, not a curated record. The transcript has a single exon. Lineage: Eukaryota; Metazoa; Chordata; Actinopteri; Labriformes; Labridae.
GCAUGGCAGAAUUCUGUUCCAGCAAGUCUGUGGUGGAUACAGUCAGACACCAUGCAACAUCCUUGUCUCAUUUCUACUUAAUGACUGGAUGAGUGCCUCUGCCUCAUCAAACUGUUUAGGAAUGAGUACAUUA